GCAAACUGGGGGACGGGAGGCGGGGGAAGAGAGGGAUUGAGAACGUUGUUCGGAGUGUGUGGGCGUAAAGCGUGGGUAGGUGGCCGCGAAAGUCGGAUGGGAAAGCCCUGGGCUCAACUCAGGAAGUGAACCCGAUACUGCGUGGCUCUAGUACCGGAGAGGUUGGUGGAAUUCUCGGUGUAGAGGUGAAAUUCGUAGAUAUCGAGAGGAACACCUGUGGCGAAGGCGGCCAACUGGACGAGUACUGACACUGAGACACGAAAGCGUGGGGAGCAAACAGGAUUAGAUACCCUAGUAGUC
This 300-nucleotide ribosomal RNA is filed under the name uncultured Lactobacillus sp. Its description in RNAcentral is "bacterial SSU rRNA". The stretch from base 52 to 300 matches the Rfam family "Bacterial small subunit ribosomal RNA", at positions 547 to 795 of the family's 1533-position model. Lineage: Bacteria; Bacillati; Bacillota; Bacilli; Lactobacillales; Lactobacillaceae. The record is from RNAcentral.